GACGAACGCUGGCGGCGUGCUUAACACAUGCAAGUCGAACGGAAAGGCCCUGCUUUUGUGGGGUGCUCGAGUGGCGAACGGGUGAGUAACACGUGAGUAACCUGCCCUUGACUUUGGGAUAACUUCAGGAAACUGGGGCUAAUACCGGAUAGGAGCUCCUGCUGCAUGGUGGGGGUUGGAAAGUUUCGGCGGUUGGGGAUGGACUCGCGGCUUAUCAGCUUGUUGGUGGGGUAGUGGCUUACCAAGGCUUUGACGGGUAGCCGGCCUGAGAGGGUGACCGGCCACAUUGGGACUGAGAUACGGCCCAGACUCCUACGGGAGGCAGAAGUGGGGAAUAUUGCACAAUGGGCGGAAGCCUGAUGCAGCAACGCCGCGUGCGGGAUGACGGCCUUCGGGUUGUAAACCGCUUUCGCCUGUGACGAAGCGUGAGUGACGGUAAUGGGUAAAGAAGCACCGGCUGACUACGUG
RNAcentral lists this ribosomal RNA (468 nucleotides) under uncultured bacterium. RNAcentral describes it as "partial 16S ribosomal RNA". It matches the Rfam family "Bacterial small subunit ribosomal RNA", at positions 28 to 507 of the family's 1533-position model. The record is from RNAcentral.